CUACGGAGGAUCCGAGCGUUAUCCGGAUUUAUUGGGUUUAAAGGGUGCGCAGGCGGGAGAUUAAGUCGGCGGGGAAAUUUUGGAGCGCAACUGGAAAAGUGCCUUAGCAACUGGUUUUCUUGCGUGUAGAUGAAGCAGGCGGAAUUUGUGGUGUAGAGGGGAAAUGCAUAGAUAUCACGAGGAACUCCGAUUGCGCAGGCAGCUUACUAAACUACUACUGACGCUCAGGCACGAAGGCGUGGGGAUCAAACAGGAUUAGAUACCCUGGUAGUCCACGCAGUAAACGAUGAUUACUAGCUGUUUGCGAUACAAUGUAAGCGGCUGAGCGAAAGCGUUAAGUAAUCCACCUGGGGAGUACGUUCGCAAGAAUGAAACUCAAAUGAAUUGACGGGG
RNAcentral lists this ribosomal RNA (393 nucleotides) under uncultured bacterium. RNAcentral's name for it is "partial 16S ribosomal RNA". It matches the Rfam family "Bacterial small subunit ribosomal RNA", at positions 523 to 918 of the family's 1533-position model. The record is from RNAcentral.